CGUCAUUUCCCUCCCCUCCCCUGUUUUCUCCCUUUUCCCUCCUAUCCAAAAAAGCUCUAUCGGUCUAUAUAUUCUCAUUGUAUCUUAUAGAGAAAGUGCGUGAGAGUAUUUCACUAAUAGUUAUGGAGCUCCUCUUGUGCUCCACAACAUCGAACUUGCUCAACAAAAAAAGAACCGGCAGAGCUUCAUUUAUCCGUGGAAAACGACUAGCAUAAAGCUAACUCGAACCACGUAUAUGAGCACUGAUAAUUUUCCGUGAAAGAGCGAUUGGUAAAAUAGAGUUAUAUAUGUGCCCUUUGAAUUGAGUUUCAUGAUUUGUAAUGGUACAUACGUACCCAACAUGCAACAAUGAUUCGUCCCUGUCAAUUGAUUAAUCAUGCAAGUAAAAAGACUGAAUUUAUGUAUCUUAUAUCUAUCCUUCAAGCUGCAAAUUGACCGUGGACAAGCCACGUAAGCAAUAUUCGUCUGACAGUGCAAGUAUCUUUAGUGUGUGUGUAUAUAUAUAUAUAUAUAUGAAAAGGUGUCUCACGUGAACUUGAGGAUCUUAUUCUUAUCUGAUAAGUUUUUGUAGGUCAAUAAGCAGCAAUGUUGCUAAUUUAUUUGUAUUUUGAAUUAAAAUAGUAACGUUGCCAAUUCGUGCAAAUCAGUUUGCUUUCUUGAAAAUCGGAGAGUCGAUAUCACAAGAGAUGUUUUGAGACAUCGCAUAGUCCGCAACAUAUAAACUCCUAUGAAUAAUCUUUUCCAAGAUACGAGUCAUUAGUUUCAAUUAAAAUGGACUAAUUUUCACUAUAUAUAUAAAUAUUUUGAGAACGUACGGAUAUGAUAUAUUAUCUGUGUACAAAAAUAUCUUAGAUGGACGUUAAUCGUAAUGAUGUGAUUGGAAAGGUCAACUAUAAUACUUUUUUUAUUAUACACCAUUUAUUGCCUACUACUUAUGUCCUAAUUAUAAGUUUAAUUCAUUUAGGAAUAAUUAUUAAAUAAAACCAAAACGAUUGAUAUAUUUUCUUUUUAAGGUCAAAAAAUAUUUAUUUUUGUGAAAAUAAGACCGUAACAUUUGUUAAAAUUUUCGGAUAAGGUGUUAUUGAAGAAUUUCCUUUCUAACUUGCAUGUAGUUAGCUAACAAAUACAAGUGUAUGGAAUGCAAUUACUACUGUACCGGAAAUAAUUAAAAAACACAAAAAGCUUCUUUAUCUAUAUUAUAUUUAAUUAACUUUAUCAAGUGUUUGGGUGAUUCACUUGCUUUAGCAAAAGCAAUAAUCCUAGGAAACAUGACGCACAUAUUUAUUUUUAAAAAAUAAUACACACUGCUUCGUGGUAAUAAAAAAAAGUAAGAUCCCACUUUUUAGUAAUCAGUUAAGUAUUUCUGAUACGUACACUUGUUGGAAAAUAAUAUUUCACAUACCAAAAUCCAAAAUCCAAAAUUCUUUUUUUUUUUUGUCAACUUGCAAUGAAAACUGAAAAGGCUACAAAAGGUGGGGCCUAGGGUACUCUCAAUUUCAUCGCCCUAGGUGCCCUAAUUAAGAUGCGAGGUGGAUUUUCCCAUUAAAAAAAAAUUAUCCCAAACUUCAAUUAAAUAUAUAAUUAUUUUUCUCUGUCAGAUAAUUUUAAAAAUUAAAAUUAACGGACAACGGUAUCGAAUGAGCUAUUUUGAAUUUCUUGUACUAGACAAUAUAUAGAUCGUACUAAGUUGCUUACGUACAUAUACAAAUACAUAUACAUUCUAAAAUGAUCUUUUGAUGCAAAAAAAAAAAAA
Non-coding RNA from Punica granatum (pomegranate), 1753 nucleotides. The record is from RefSeq and is a predicted model, not a curated record. Lineage: Eukaryota; Viridiplantae; Streptophyta; Magnoliopsida; Myrtales; Lythraceae.